GACGAACGCUGGCGGCGUGCUUAACACAUGCAAGUCGAACGGAAAGGCCCUGCUUUUGUGGGGUGCUCGAGUGGCGAACGGGUGAGUAACACGUGAGUAACCUGCCCUUGACUUUGGGAUAACUUCAGGAAACUGGGGCUAAUACCGGAUAGGAGCUCCUGCUGCAUGGUGGGGGUUGGAAAGUUUCGGCGGUUGGGGAUGGACUCGCGGCUUAUCAGCUUGUUGGUGGGGUAGUGGCUUACCAAGGCUUUGACGGGUAGCCGGCCUGAGAGGGUGACCGGCCACAUUGGGACUGAGAUACGGCACAGACUCCGACGGGAGGCAGCAGUGGGGAAUAUUGCACAAUGGGCGGAAGCCUGAUGCAGCAACGCCGCGUGCGGGAUGACGGCCUUCGGGUUGUAAACCGAUUUCGCCUGUGACGAAGCGUGAGUGACGGUAAUGGGUAAAGAAGCACCGGCUAACUACGUG
Molecule: ribosomal RNA, 468 nt
Filed under: uncultured bacterium
Lineage: Bacteria
Description: partial 16S ribosomal RNA
Rfam family: Bacterial small subunit ribosomal RNA
Source: RNAcentral